Molecule: ribosomal RNA, 472 nt
Filed under: uncultured bacterium
Lineage: Bacteria
Description: bacterial SSU rRNA
Rfam family: Bacterial small subunit ribosomal RNA
Source: RNAcentral
UGGGGAAUUUUGGACAAUGGGCGAAAGCCUGAUCCAGCAAUGCCGCGUGAGUGAAGAAGGCCUUCGGGUUGUAAAGCUCUUUUGUCAGGGAAGAAACGGUGAGAGCUAAUAUCUCUUGCUAAUGACGGUACCUGAAGAAUAAGCACCGGCUAACUACGUGCCAGCAGCCGCGGUAAUACGUAGGGUGCAAGCGUUAAUCGGAAUUACUGGGCGUAAAGCGUGCGCAGGCGGUUUUGUAAGUCUGAUGUGAAAUCCCCGGGCUCAACCUGGGAAUUGCAUUGGAGACUGCAAGGCUAGAAUCUGGCAGAGGGGGGUAGAAUUCCACGUGUAGCAGUGAAAUGCGUAGAUAUGUGGAGGAACACCGAUGGCGAAGGCAGCCCCCUGGGUCAAGAUUGACGCUCAUGCACGAAAGCGUGGGGAGCAAACAGGAUUAGAUACCCACGUAGUCCCUGAGCGGGCUGGCAAGGCGCAU